ACUGGUAUAGCAUAAUGGUUAGUGCAGGAGUCUUAUACACUCAAGAUGAAGGUUCAAGUCCUUAUACCAGUA
Molecule: transfer RNA, 72 nt
Filed under: Crassvirales sp.
Lineage: Duplodnaviria; Heunggongvirae; Uroviricota; Caudoviricetes; Crassvirales
Description: tRNA-Ile
Rfam family: tRNA
About the family: Transfer RNA (tRNA) molecules are approximately 80 nucleotides in length. Their secondary structure includes four short double-helical elements and three loops (D, anti-codon, and T loops).
Source: RNAcentral